CGCACUCAAGUGAGGAAUGGGGAAGGAGGGUGGAGGAAGGAGCUUGUAAAUGAGCAGCUGGUUUGCAGCAAAACCGCACCUCACUCUGCACCUUUGGAUCCCUCUCAGCCUGAGGUUAGCACAGCCAAUGUCCUCACCAGCGUCUGCCAAAGCCCAUGGAGAAGGCCAGCAGGAGCAUAUCACUGUGACUUACAACCCUUCUCUAGUCUGCUACAAUGGAAUCUUAAACAAGAAAAUUUUAUAUUUUGACUUGCAUCAUUGAGAAAAACACUGCCAACCUGAUCGUGGUUCCUUUGAAGAAUCACUGCAGCAGGUGCGAGAGAGGACUCAUGGAGCUUGCAGAUGAGCUAGCCCAGGAGUGUUACCCGUGAUGCCAGGUGCAGGUGAAAGAAGUUGGAAUUGAAAAGAGCAGCAAAAAAUGUACUGCUUUUUAGUGCAUAAGAUCAUGAAAAUAUUGCACUGUGAGGGGAAAAGGUUGGUUUUCAGAGUUGGACUCUGUUGUCACCAAGAGAAGCACCAAGAAAGGGUGUGGAUAACUUACAGUCUGCUCAUUAUAGUCAUCUUAGCAAAGUAUAUUUUUCAAAUAAUUUUGCAUAAUCUUUCAACAGGCUUAUUCUUGUCAUAUUUUGUCAUUUCUCUCACCCACAUCAUCUUAAUAUUGUAAGCCUUAUAUUCCUCCAAAUAACCUAUAUGUUAUCUUUGAACUGAAAUGAACUAUUAGGGAGCUGCACAUUAACAGCUCUAUUCCUGCUCCAUCUCUUUUUUUUCUACAAUAAGCAUUUAUUUAUUCUUUAAAUUUUUUUUUAAUUUUAUCCAUCUCCUCUAGGAUUUCUAGUUUAUCCUCUUUGCCUAUAGGUUUUUGGGGAACCAGGUGGUACUUGAUUACAUGAGUAAGUUCCUUAGUGGUGAUUUGUGAGAUUUUG
RNAcentral lists this long non-coding RNA (923 nucleotides) under Homo sapiens (human). RNAcentral describes it as "HSALNT0367952". Lineage: Eukaryota; Metazoa; Chordata; Mammalia; Primates; Hominidae. The record is from RNAcentral.